Vidua macroura (Pin-tailed whydah) is the source of this 279-nucleotide long non-coding RNA. RefSeq lists it as uncharacterized. NCBI's taxonomy places the organism in Eukaryota, Metazoa, Chordata, Aves, Passeriformes, Viduidae. The record is from RefSeq and is a predicted model, not a curated record. The transcript has 3 exons.
UGGUCCAUCGAGCCUGUUCUGAAGAACAAUCACCUCGAAUACAUGACACCAGCCGUACGCCAGAAGUGGCAGGCGCUGGAGGAUGAGCCCUGUCCCUUUGAAGUGACGCCCUCCCAAGGAACCCUUGAUCCAGGAUGCUGGCAGAACUUAGAAAUCCACUUUACACCCAAGGAGGAGAGGUCUUACAAGAAUGAGCUGAAGCUUAACAUCUGUGGGAGCAGCAAUCACUUAAAGCUGCACCUCUCAGGACAAGGUCUGGAGCCACGGCUGGAGUUCAGC